RNAcentral lists this transfer RNA (76 nucleotides) under Escherichia coli. Its description in RNAcentral is "tRNA-Val". It matches the Rfam family "tRNA". Rfam says of the family: Transfer RNA (tRNA) molecules are approximately 80 nucleotides in length. Their secondary structure includes four short double-helical elements and three loops (D, anti-codon, and T loops). RNAcentral also lists the same sequence under 19 other names. Lineage: Bacteria; Pseudomonadati; Pseudomonadota; Gammaproteobacteria; Enterobacterales; Enterobacteriaceae. The record is from RNAcentral.
GGGUGAUUGGCUCAGCUGGGAGAGCACCUCCCUUACAAGGAGGGGGUCGGCGGUUCGAUCCCGUCAUCACCCACCA